CAGUAGCCACGGUAAUACAGAGGUCUCAAGCGUUGUUCGGAUUCAUUGGGCGUAAAGGGUGCGUAGGUGGCGGUGUAAGUCUAACGUGAAAUCUCGGGGCUCAACCUCGAAAUUGCGUCGGAUACUGCAUUGCUAGAGGAUUGUAGAGGAGAGUGGAAUUCAUGGUGUAGCAGUGAAAUGCGUAGAUCUCAUGAGGAAGACCAGUUGCGAAGGCGACUCUCUGGGCAAUUCCUGACACUGAGGCACGAAAGCGUGGGGAGCAAACAGGAUUAGAUACCCCGGUAGUCCCUGUCUCUUAUAC
This 301-nucleotide ribosomal RNA is filed under the name uncultured bacterium. RNAcentral describes it as "partial 16S ribosomal RNA". It matches the Rfam family "Bacterial small subunit ribosomal RNA", at positions 509 to 807 of the family's 1533-position model. The record is from RNAcentral.